AGAGUUUGAUCCUGGCUCAGGAUGAACGCUAGCGAUAGGCCUAACACAUGCAAGUCGAGGGGCAGCAUAGGGUAGCAAUACUUUGAUGGCGACCGGCGCACGGGUGAGUAACACGUAUGCAACCUACCUACAACAGGGGAAUAACCCGGAGAAAUUCGGACUAAUACCCCAUAAUACAGGGAUGCCGCAUGGCAAUAUUUGUUAAAGAUUUAUCGGUUGUAGAUGGGCAUGCGUUCCAUUAGAUAGUUGGUAAGGUAACGGCUUACCAAGUCAGCGAUGGAUAGGGAAACUGAGAGGUUUAUCCCCCACACUGGAACUGAGACACGGACCAGACUCCUACGGGAGGCAGCAGUGAGGAAUAUUGGUCAAUGGACGAGAGUCUGAACCAGCCAAAUCGCGUGAAGGAAGACUGCCUUAUGGGUUGUAAACUUCUUUUAUACAGGAAUAAAAAGAGGGAUGUAUCCCUUAUUGCAUGUACUGUAUGAAUAAGCAUCGGCUAACUCCGUGCCAGCAGCCGCGGUAAUACGGAGGAUGCGAGCGUUAUCCGGAUUUAUUGGGUUUAAAGGGUGCGCA
Molecule: ribosomal RNA, 573 nt
Filed under: uncultured bacterium
Lineage: Bacteria
Description: bacterial SSU rRNA
Rfam family: Bacterial small subunit ribosomal RNA
Source: RNAcentral